GACGAACGCUGGCGGCGUGCCUAAUACAUGCAAGUCGAACGCUUCUUUCCUCCCGAGUGCUUGCACUCAAUUGGAAAGAGGAGUGGCGGACGGGUGAGUAACACGUGGGUAACCUACCCAUCAGAGGGGGAUAACACUUGGAAACAGGUGCUAAUACCGCAUAACAGUUUAUGCCGCAUGGCAUGAGAGUGAAAGGCGCUUUCGGGUGUCGCUGAUGGAUGGACCCGCGGUGCAUUAGCUAGUUGGUGAGGUAACGGCUCACCAAGGCCACGAUGCAUAGCCGACCUGAGAGGGUGAUCGGCCACACUGGGACUGAGACACGGCCCAGACUCCUACGGGAGGCAGCAGCAGGGAAUCUUCGGCAAUGGACGAAAGUCUGACCGAGAAACGCAGCGUGAGUGAAGAAGGUUUUCGGAUCGUAAAACUCUGUUGUUAGAGAAGAACAAGGACGUUAGUAACUGAACGUCCCCUGACGGUAUCUAACCAGAAAGCCACGGCUAACUACGUG
Molecule: ribosomal RNA, 508 nt
Filed under: uncultured bacterium
Lineage: Bacteria
Description: partial 16S ribosomal RNA
Rfam family: Bacterial small subunit ribosomal RNA
Source: RNAcentral